GUCCUCCGAGGGGCCGCCACGGGGGCUCCAUUGUGCGCGGAGCAGGCCUUUUUCUCCUGCCCUCUGUCUCCCCCGGGCUUCCUCCCCCGCCCCCCCCCCCCACGCAGACUUUUCUCUCAAGCUGCCCGGAUCCCCCUGCUGCCGCAUUUCCAAUGCAGAGGAGCGGGCAGGGCUUCGGGCUGGCCAUCUGCACGCGGAGAUUGACAGCGGCCCCGGAAGGUUGAAAAGGAAGACAGGAGUUUCUGGAUGUACCUGUCAAGACUAAAUGAUUGUUCAUUUCCUGUGAAUUGGGAAUAACGUAAUCACAUGCAGCUGGGGAGCUAGGCUGUGUUUCUUGCUUUUUCCUCUUCCAGAAGCUGGGUCCCUUACCAGCUGGGAAAUAUUACUGUAUGAACGUGCUGAAAAACUUAAGGGAAAUGAAAAGAACAACAACAUUCUAGAUGUCAGCAAUCAGUUUGAUGGUCUUACCUGUACCAACCUGAGAGGAUUUUAAUAGCAAAAAGAACUGCCUUUUCUGACGUCUACCAAACACAAGAUGACGAGGAUGACAAUAAUAAAAAAUAUCAAUGCUGCUGAAGCUCCUUGGGGACUCUUCAGAAUGACACAGCACUAACACAUCCAUUAGGUCAUUUCUUUUCCCUCCUCUCUCUCUUAGUGCUUUGAGGCCAGCAGUGAGAGCAUUGUCACUCCGUCUCACAGUUCACUUAUUUAUUUUGAGAGACAGAGAGAGCGAACAAGAGAGGGG
This is a long non-coding RNA of Herpailurus yagouaroundi (jaguarundi), 745 nucleotides long. RefSeq lists it as uncharacterized. The transcript has 4 exons. The record is from RefSeq and is a predicted model, not a curated record. NCBI's taxonomy places the organism in Eukaryota, Metazoa, Chordata, Mammalia, Carnivora, Felidae.